GCUUGUCUCAAAGAUUAAGCCAUGCAUGUCUAAGUAUAGUACCUUAUACUGCGAAACUGCGAAUGGCUCAUUAAAUCAGUUAUAAUUCAUUUGAUGGUACUUACUACUCGGAUAACCGUAGUAAUUCUAGAGCUAAUACAUGCACAAAUUCCCGUCAGGGAUGUAUUUAUUAGAUUGAAACCAAUGCGGGGUAACCCGGUGUUUGGUGAUUCAUAAUAACUUUCGGAUCGCAUUUGCGAUGCAUCAUUCAAGUUUCUGCCCUAUCAGCUUUGGAUGGUAGGGUAUUGGCCUACCAUGGCAUUAACGGGUAACGGAGGAUUUGGGUUCGAUUCCGGAGAGGGAGCCUGAGAAAUGGCUACCACAUCCAAGGAAGGCAGCAGG
This 381-nucleotide ribosomal RNA is filed under the name uncultured Chrysophyceae. RNAcentral's name for it is "partial small subunit ribosomal RNA". It matches the Rfam family "Eukaryotic small subunit ribosomal RNA", at positions 30 to 432 of the family's 1831-position model. Lineage: Eukaryota; Chrysophyceae. The record is from RNAcentral.